GGUUAAGUUAGAAAGGGCGCACGGUGGAUGCCUUGGCACUAGGAGCCGAAGAAGGACGGGACUAACACCGAUAUGCUUUGGGGAGCUGUACGUAAGCGUUGAUCCAGAGAUUUCCGAAUGGGGGAACCCACUAUCUUUAGUCGGAUAGUAUCCUUACGUGAAUACAUAGCGUGAGGAAGGCAGACCCAGGGAACUGAAACAUCUAAGUACCUGGAGGAAGAGAAAGAAAAAUCGAUUUCCUGAGUAGCGGCGAGCGAAACGGAAAGAGCCCAAACCAAGAAGCUUGCUUCUUGGGGUUGUAGGACACUCUAUACGGAGUUACAAAAGAAAGUUAUAAAUGAAGCGGUCUGGAAAGGCCCGCCAAAGACGGUAACAGCCCGGUAGUUGAAAUGGCUUUCCCUCCAGAGUGGAUCCUGAGUACGGCGGAACACGUGAAAUUCCGUCGGAAUCCGGGAGGACCAUCUCCCAAGGCUAAAUACUCCCUAGUGACCGAUAGUGAACCAGUACCGUGAGGGAAAGGUGAAAAGCACCCCGGAAGGGGAGUGAAACAGUUCCUGAAACCGUGUGCCUACAAGUAGUUAGAGCCCGUUAAUGGGUGAUAGCGUGCCUUUUGUAGAAUGAACCGGCGAGUUACGAUUUGUUGCAAGGUUAAGCGGAAAAAGCGGAGCCGUAGCGAAAGCGAGUCUGAAUAGGGCGCAUAAGUAACAGGUCGUAGACCCGAAACCAGGUGAUCUACCCAUGUCCAGGAUGAAGGUAAGGUAAUACUUACUGGAGGUCCGAACCCACGCACGUUGAAAAGUGCGGGGAUGAGGUGUGGGUAGCGGAGAAAUUCCAAUCGAACUUGGAGAUAGCUGGUUCUCUCCGAAAUAGCUUUAGGGCUAGCCUCGAGGUAAAGAGUCAUGGAGGUAGAGCACUGUUUGGACUAGGGGCCCUUCUCGGGUUACCGAAUUCAGAUAAACUCCGAAUGCCAUGUACUUAUACUCGGGAGUCAGACUGCGAGUGAUAAGAUCCGUAGUCGAAAGGGAAACAGCCCAGACCACCAGUUAAGGUCCCCAAAUAUAUGUUAAGUGGAAAAGGAUGUGGGGUUGCUUAGACAACCAGGAUGUUGGCUUAGAAGCAGCCACCAUUGAAAGAGUGCGUAAUAGCUCACUGGUCGAGUGACCCCGCGCCGAAAAUGUACCGGGGCUAAACAUAUUACCGAAACUGUGGAUGAACCUCUUCGGAGGUUCGUGGUAGGAGAGCGUUCUAAGGGCGGUGAAGUCAGACCGGAAGGACUGGUGGAGCGCUUAGAAGUGAGAAUGCCGGUAUGAGUAGCGAAAGAAGGGUGAGAAUCCCUUCCACCGAAUAUCUAAGGUUUCCUGAGGAAGGCUCGUCCGCUCAGGGUUAGUCGGGACCUAAGCCGAGGCCGAUAGGCGUAGGCGAUGGACAACAGGUAGAGAUUCCUGUACCAGUGCUAAUUGUUUAACCGAUGGGGUGA
RNAcentral lists this ribosomal RNA (1477 nucleotides) under Listeria innocua. RNAcentral describes it as "partial 23S ribosomal RNA". It matches the Rfam family "Bacterial large subunit ribosomal RNA", at positions 1 to 1472 of the family's 2925-position model. The record is from RNAcentral. Lineage: Bacteria; Bacillati; Bacillota; Bacilli; Caryophanales; Listeriaceae.